GGGCCGGUAGCUCAGCCAGGUAGAGCGGCGGGCUUUUAACCCCUAGGCGGAAGUCCCGGGUUCGAAUCCCGGCCGGCCCGCCA
This 83-nucleotide transfer RNA is filed under the name Pyrodictium sp. RNAcentral describes it as "tRNA-Lys". It matches the Rfam family "tRNA". Rfam says of the family: Transfer RNA (tRNA) molecules are approximately 80 nucleotides in length. Their secondary structure includes four short double-helical elements and three loops (D, anti-codon, and T loops). The record is from RNAcentral. Lineage: Archaea; Thermoproteati; Thermoproteota; Thermoprotei; Desulfurococcales; Pyrodictiaceae.